GGAUUAGAUACCCUGGUAGUCCACGCCGUAAACGAUGUGCACUAGAUCGAGGAGGUUCUGACACCAUUCUUGGUCGAAGCGAAAGUGUUAAGUGCACCGCCUGGGGAGUACGGUCGCAAGGCUAAAACUCAAAGGAAUUGACGGGGGCUCACACAAGCGGUGGAGCAUGUGGCUUAAUUCGAAGCAACGCGAAGAACCUUAUCCUGGGUUUGACAUGCACGGAUUAGCUUCCUGAAAGGGAAGUAACGCCUUCGGGUGGAACGUGCACAGGCGCUGCAUGGCUGUCGUCAGCUCGUGUUG
RNAcentral lists this ribosomal RNA (300 nucleotides) under uncultured bacterium. Its description in RNAcentral is "bacterial SSU rRNA". It matches the Rfam family "Bacterial small subunit ribosomal RNA", at positions 775 to 1067 of the family's 1533-position model. The record is from RNAcentral.